RNAcentral lists this ribosomal RNA (316 nucleotides) under Paenibacillus sp. LHD-38. Its description in RNAcentral is "bacterial SSU rRNA". It matches the Rfam family "Bacterial small subunit ribosomal RNA", at positions 1 to 311 of the family's 1533-position model. The record is from RNAcentral. Lineage: Bacteria; Bacillati; Bacillota; Bacilli; Caryophanales; Paenibacillaceae.
AAUUUGGAGAGUUUGAUCCUGGCUCAGGACGAACGCUGGCGGCGUGCCUAAUACAUGCAAGUCGAGCGGAUCUUGUCCUUCGGGACAAGGUUAGCGGCGGACGGGUGAGUAACACGUGGGUAACCUGCCUGUAAGACUGGGAUAACAUUCGGAAACGAAUGCUAAUACCGGAUACGCAGCUUGGUCGCAUGACCGGGCUGGGAAAGAUGGAGCAAUCUAUCACUUAUAGAUGGACCCGCGGCGCAUUAGCUAGUUGGUGAGGUAACGGCUCACCAAGGCGACGAUGCGUAGCCGACCUGAGAGGGUGAUCGGCCAC